AUCACAUCAGUGCUUUCUGUUAACACUCUUUUUUGUGAGUGUGCAGUGGAGUAUUUUGGUUGUUUAUGAACAAAUCCUUCACGGUUCUUUCGAUGGGACUUUGGUCAUUUUUAAUUAUUGCUGGACUUUUUUAUUUUUUAUUAUUUCCAGAUAAAAUUACAAGUUCACUGAAUUGGUUCCAUGAUAUUAGGUUUCCUCCAACAAGAACACAGUAUCCUUAAGUGGAUCUUGUGUCUAAGGGUGACCUUUCCCAGUCAACAUCAGAGUAAUGAAUGAUCUUUGCAUUGCCUUUGUCCUCAUGUAAUAAUCAUUUACCUAGUACAUAAUAUAUUUUGCCUCCCUAAAAUACUUUGUUGUUUAUUCGUGUUUAGACUUUUUAAAUUGAAGUUGUAUGCACAUAAUACAUAUAUCUGGUC
RNAcentral lists this long non-coding RNA (416 nucleotides) under Glycine max (soybean). RNAcentral describes it as "long non-coding RNA (GMAX_LNC003520)". The record is from RNAcentral. Lineage: Eukaryota; Viridiplantae; Streptophyta; Magnoliopsida; Fabales; Fabaceae.